Molecule: ribosomal RNA, 468 nt
Filed under: uncultured bacterium
Lineage: Bacteria
Description: partial 16S ribosomal RNA
Rfam family: Bacterial small subunit ribosomal RNA
Source: RNAcentral
GACGAACGCUGGCGGCGUGCUUAACACAUGCAAGUCGAACGGAAAGGCCCUGAUUUUGUGGGGUGCCCGAGUGGCGAACGGGUGCGUAACACGUGAGUAACCUGCCCUUCACUUUCGGAUAACUUCAGGAAACUGGGGCUAAUAUCGGAUAGGAGAUCACGUUGCAUGGAGGGGGUUGGAAAGUCUAGGCGGUUUGGGAUGGACUAGCGGAUUAUCAGCUUGCUGGUGGGGUAGUGGCUUGCCCAGUCUUUGACGGGUCGCCGGCCUGGGAGGGUGACCGGCCACAUUAGGACUGAGGUACGGCCCAGACUCCAAUGGGAGGCAGCAGGGGGGAGUAUUACACAAUGAGCGCGAGCCGGUGGCGGCAGCGCCGCGUGCGUGAUGACGGCCUGCUGGGUGUAAACCGCUUUCGCCUGUGACGAAGCGGGAGUGACGGUAAUGGAUAAAUAAGCACCGGCUAACUACGUG